GACGAACGCUGGCGGCGUGCCUAAUACAUGCAAGUAGAACGCUGAAGCGAGGAGCUUGCUCUUCUUGGAUGAGUCGCGAACGGGUGAGUAACGCGUAGGUAACCUGCCUUGUAGCGGGGGAUAACUAUUGGAAACGAUAGCUAAUACCGCAUAACAAUGGAUGACACAUGUCAUUUAUUUGAAAGGGGCAAUUGCUCCACUACAAGAUGGACCUGCGUUGUAUUAGCUAGUAGGUGAGGUAAUAGCUCACCUAGGCGACGUUACAGAGCCGACCUGAGAGGGCGGUUGGCCGCCCUGGGACUGUGACCCGGCCCAGACGCCCUCGGGUGGCAGCCGUAGGGAAUCGUCGGGCAUGGGGGCGACCCUGACCGAACAACGCCGCGGGCGGGAAGAAGGUUGUCGGGUCGUAAAGGUCGGUUUUAAGUCAAGAACGGGUGUGAGAGUGGAAAGUUCACACUGUGACGGUAGCUGACCAGAAAGCGACGGCUAACUACGUG
This 497-nucleotide ribosomal RNA is filed under the name uncultured bacterium. RNAcentral describes it as "partial 16S ribosomal RNA". It matches the Rfam family "Bacterial small subunit ribosomal RNA", at positions 28 to 507 of the family's 1533-position model. The record is from RNAcentral.